This 492-nucleotide ribosomal RNA is filed under the name uncultured bacterium. RNAcentral's name for it is "partial 16S ribosomal RNA". It matches the Rfam family "Bacterial small subunit ribosomal RNA", at positions 29 to 507 of the family's 1533-position model. The record is from RNAcentral.
AGUGAACGCUGGCGGUAGGCCUAACACAUGCAAGUCGAACGGCAGCACAGUAAGAGCUUGCUCUUACGGGUGGCGAGUGGCGGACGGGGGAGGAGUACAUCGGAAUCUACUUUUUCGUGGGGGAGAACGUAGGGAAACUUACGGUAAUACCGCAUACGACCUACGGGUGAAAGCAGGGGGUCUUCGGACCUUGCGCGAUUGAAUGAGCCGAUGUCGGAUUAGCUAGUUGGCGGGGUAAAGGCGCACCAAGGCGACGAUCCGUAGCUGGUCUGAGAGGAUGAUCAGCCACACUGGAACUGAGACACGGUCCAGACUCCUACGGGAGGCAGCAGUGGGGAAUAUUGGACAAUGGGCGCAAGCCUGAUCCAGCCAUACCGCGUGGGUGAAGAAGGCCUUCGGGUUGUAGAGCCCUUUUGUUGGGAAAGAAAAGCAGCAGGUUAAUACCCCGCUGUUCUGACGGUACCCAAAGAAUAAGCACCGGCUAACUUCGUG